UACGGAGGGUGCGAGCGUUAUCCGGAUUCACUGGGUUUAAAGGGUGCGUAGGAGGGCAGGUAAGUCAGUGGUGAAAUCUCCAAGCUUAACUUGGAAACUGCCGUUGAUACUAUCUGUCUUGAAUACCGUGGAGGUGAGCGGAAUAUGUCAUGUAGCGGUGAAAUGCUUAGAUAUGACAUAGAACACCAAUUGCGAAGGCAGCUCGCUACACGAAUAUUGACUCUGAGGCACGAAAGCGUGGGGAUCAAACAGG
Molecule: ribosomal RNA, 253 nt
Filed under: uncultured bacterium
Lineage: Bacteria
Description: partial 16S ribosomal RNA
Rfam family: Bacterial small subunit ribosomal RNA
Source: RNAcentral